CCUGCGGGGGAAAGAUUUAUCGCUAUUAGAUGAGCCUACGUUAGAUUAGCUAGUUGGUAAGGUAAUGGCUUACCAAGGCUAUGAUCUAUAGCUGGUCUGAGAGGACGAUCAGCCACACUGGAACUGAGAUACGGUCCAGACUCCUACGGGAGGCAGCAGUGGGGAAUAUUGGACAAUGGGCGAAAGCCUGAUCCAGCUAUGCCGCGUGAGUGAAGAAGGCCUUCGGGUUGUAAAGCUCUUUCAAUAGGGAAGAUAAUGACGGUACCUAUAGAAGAAGUCCCGGCAAACUCCGUGCCAGCAGCCGCGGUAAUACGGAGGGGGCAAGCGUUGUUCGGAAUUAUUGGGCGUAAAGGGCACGUAGGUGGACUAGUAAGUUAAAAGUGAAAUACCAAAGCUUAACUUUGGAGCUGCUUUUAAUACUGCUAGACUAGAGGUCGAAAGAGGAUAGCGGAAUUCCUAGUGUAGAGGUGAAAUUCGUAGAUAUUAGGAGGAACACCAGUGGCGAAGGCGGCUAUCUGGUUCGAUACUGACACUGAGGUGCGAAAGCGUGGGGAGCAAACAGGAUUAGAUACCCUGGUAGUCCACGCUGUAAACGAUGAGUGCUAAAUGUGAGGAUUUUAUCUUUGUAUUGUAGCUAACGCGUUAAGCACUCCGCCUGGGGACUACGGUCGCAAGACUAAAACUCAAAGGAAUUGACGGGGACCCGCACAAGCGGUGGAGCAUGUGGUUUAAUUCGAUGCUACGCGAAAAACCUUACCACUUUUUGACAUGAAGGUCGUAUCCCUCCUAACAGGGGGAGUCAGUUCGGCUGGACCUUACACAGGUGCUGCAUGGUUGUCGUCAGCUCGUGUCGUGAGAUGUUGGGUUAAGUCCCGCAACGAGCGCAACCCUCAUCCUUAGUUACCAACAGGUAAUGCUGGGCACUCUAAGGAAACUGCCAGUGAUAAACUGGAGGAAGGUGGGGAUGAUGUCAAAUCAGCACGGCCCUUAUAAGGUGGGCUACACACGUGCUACAAUGGCAACUACAAUAGGUUGCGAGACCGCAAGGUUUAGCUAAUCCAUAAAAGUUGUCUCAGUUCGGAUUGUUCUCUGCAACUCGAGAGCAUGAAGUCGGAAUCGCUAGUAAUCGUGGAUCAUCACGCCACGGUGAAUACGUUCUCGGGUCUUGUACACACUGCCCGUCACGCCAUGGGAAUUGGCUUAACUCGAAGCUGGUGUGCUAACCGCAAGGAAGCAGCCAUUUAAGGUUGGGUCAGUGACUAGGGUGAAGUCGUAACAAG
This 1280-nucleotide ribosomal RNA is filed under the name Ehrlichia sp. Its description in RNAcentral is "bacterial SSU rRNA". It matches the Rfam family "Bacterial small subunit ribosomal RNA", at positions 193 to 1495 of the family's 1533-position model. Lineage: Bacteria; Pseudomonadati; Pseudomonadota; Alphaproteobacteria; Rickettsiales; Anaplasmataceae. The record is from RNAcentral.